Molecule: long non-coding RNA, 6348 nt
Organism: Astatotilapia calliptera (eastern happy)
Lineage: Eukaryota; Metazoa; Chordata; Actinopteri; Cichliformes; Cichlidae
Source: Ensembl
CUACACAGCAAAAACUGGAGUGUUAAAAUUUCAGGGUUAAAGAUGUUAGAGUUGAUUUCCACUCUCAAAGUGUCAUAUUAACACAUUCUGAUUCAAAUAGUAUUCAGUGUUGGAGUUAUUAAACAGUGUUAUUCAAGUCCAAGCAAAUGAACUCUGAAGAGAGUUAUUUAACUUGGUAGGCCCCUGGGCUUCUGCCCAGGUAAACCCGUGGAUCAAUUAAUAGUUUGCUCUGCCGGGCCGAUUUUCCAUGUGCUUCUGCUGGUUACACCGUGGUGGAUGCCUGCCGUGCUGCUUGGAGUAUUUUACACAAACGGUAAGUUAUUCAAACUUAUAUAAAAUUCACAGUAUUCUAUCGGCGCAGUGAGGUUUUCUUGAUGUUUCUUGGUGUUCGGUUGCUGAAAACGAGCUUUAAUAGAGGAGGAGAUGUGUCGAAAAUUCUAUUUAGCCUCCAAUGCUAAUGUUGCAGUCUUUUUACUCGUAAGUGACGGUAGACACUGCACGUGGAAGCGCCGCGCCAAGUUCAGCUUUUCCCCUGUUCACACAGACACGUCUUUCUCCACGCCAGUUCAUGAGCGUUUUUGCUUCUCUGUUUAUUCAGAGUAAUUUUUUCACAAUUGAUAAGUAAAUAACAUCCCAAAAUAAUUGAAGAGAGCUUGUUUUAGUCACUCCUGCUUUUACUUUGACAUCGUUCAUCGCUGACUUGUCUCUAAUCUGUCUCUCUCUCUGUCUCACUCUCUUCUCCCUUUGAGACACCCGCCCCAAACAUAGUCAGUUAGGCUGUCCCCUCCUUUGCUAUGUGUUCAUUUUCAUCUCUAUUGUCUCUUUUCAUACACAAAUCUGAUCGCAUUUGUCAAUCGCAGUAUUUUAUUUUGGAGAAUAGCUUUUAUCUUCAAAAUUGCCUGGAUUGUCUUGUGUGUCUUGGUGUAACUUCCUGCGGAACAUGCGUGGGCCACGCAAAAAAUAGACCAGAUACCGAAACAAUCGCUUCGUAGCACUCCGUGUCUGGUGUAAACUACACCAUAGAUUAACGUGUAUUUUGUAUUGUGUUAUGUAUCAAUUGGACUCCUGCAUGGACAGACACAGGUUUAUUUGAUAACAUUAAAUGUUAUUGCAGUGAAAUUCAAACGCAUGGUCAGUAUUAAUCACCAUGUACGGUAUAUGUCAGUGUUUUAAUCAUUUGUGCUUGAAUUGCUCUAAAUGUCAAAUACUAUGCCAUCUUUGUUAUUAUUUUAUCCCAGUAAAAUGCUGGUUCAGGUUCGAUACUGCCAACAGCAGAAGUAUGUGAAGUUGGAAGAGGUUGAUGGGCGUUUUGAGUUUAUGCAGUUUCAUGAAAAAGGUUUGUUUAUAUCUUACCUAAUUUUAGUUGGGGGGACAGAAUUUUUUGUAGGGCGUUUCGCCAAGUCUCUUGAAUCAUACAGUGGUGUAUCACUUUAGUGAAUGUGAGGCAAGAACAGUUUACUUAAAAGGUGCACUCAGAUAUAUCUUAUCUUUUCCAGUCAUCGAGAGAUUUUGCCUGCCACCUGAUGCAAAAGUAGUGUACAAAGAUGCAACAGGGACAGAAGUUGAUGAAGUGAUUUUCAGUGAUCUUAUCAGCCAAGGCACUGUGGUCCUAACAGUUUUCUCAAGUGAUGGUGAGAAAUUUAAAGGGGCAAGCUCAACACCAGACAUGGGGAAGGGCUGUGUGGCUGCUGGUUGUUCCAAAUAAUCAGGAGCACACAAUUUGACCAAUCAGCUGUUUGAACAUUGAGAUCAGUUAAUUUAAAUGAGUCAGGUCUGCAGUGUGAUGUUGCCUUGUUAGUUAAAAAUCUGCAGCCAGAUUUGUUUUUCUACACCUUACAGAAUAAUGUUGUUUUUUCCUUUUAGAAUUUUCUGAUUACUCCUUGUCUUCUGCAUCUGAUUGUUCUGACUCAAGCUUCAGCUCAAAUGCAAGUACAUCAACUAUACUUCUAGAUGAGGGUCCCAGGAAGAAAACAAGAGUUGAGGGUACUGUUGAUGCAGCAUCUGCUAAAAAGUUAAUUGAAGGUGUACUUGGAACCAAUUCAGGUGGUGAAGAGGUUCUCCAGGAAUAUCACACAACACAAACUCUGACAGAUGCUACCAGAAGAAAAAUGGUCAAUAUAAUAGUGGCUCACAUGAUUGAUUGCCAUGGGCACCUCCCCACCAAAGCUGUUAGAGAACAGUACGCGCUAGGGGUAGUGACAUUGUUCCCAUCCCUGAAAGACCCAUACUCCAAGAAAGGCUAUGUAUAGUCACUACUAUUGCACUUUGUUUACAUAAUUUUCAUGCUGUGCAUCAUUGGGAUUUGUGUGCGUUCACAUUUAAGUUCUAAAAAUUUUCAGAUUGACAACACAUUAUUUUUGAAUGUAUUUACAUUUUAGGAACACUUCUAUGAUGCUGCAAGCAGCACUGGAUACAUUUCUUGGCGUUUGAAAACGAUACAGAGAAAGACUAGAAGAGGAUCUGCACCACCAAGUAGCUCCACUGGCUUUACUCAAGGAGGGGGCCCAAAUUACCAAAGGCCCAUUAAUGUCGACAUGCAGCUUGAUGGAGAUGCUUGCCAGGAGGCCAUCUCUUUGCUGAAACAUACAUCCGACACUUCCUUGAUUUUCCAGAAGAUGAGAGAGACCUUUCAGCAUCGUCAGAAGGUCAUCAAUGAUCCUGACAAAAGUCUUGAUAUCCUGUCUAUCUUCCCAAGAUUCUUGGAUACAAGAGGAUUGGUGAAUCAAGACUUCACUCUCCUGUUUGAUGAUGAGAUAUCUACCAGGCUGCUUCAGAAAUGGGAUCCAAUCUUUAGGUAUCAAAUCAUCAAAGAGGCCAAGCAGCUCACCUCAACAGUAGAGUUGCGUCAAUUGGUGCAGUCAGCAGAGAGUCCACCAGGAAGUGAUCUUGAUGAGGCAGCAACCUUUGACCAAGACAUGGCCUCCCUGUUGUUACUGUUACAUCUACUUCCGCCACCCCCAGGAGGACCAAAGUAUCAAAAAAUCAGCGCCUCUGAUGCUGUUGAGAGACUUGUAGUCUUUCAUAAGUCUUGCUGCAGUUUGGAAGAGCAUCUCCAGAAUCAGCAGAGUCAGCAGCCAUACCUCCUGGCUGUUGGGCGCCAGAAGAGGAAGGUCGACAGCUUCUAUGUUGCCAUAGACAAGCGUCUCAUCCCCUGCCAGGCCAGCCGCUCCCUUGGGGCAUUUGAUGAGCUUUUUAAAGCUCAUUUUGUGUUCAAUGUGUCUUAUGAUGCUGCACUUGUGAAUUUCUACACAUUUCUGCAGACAACAGUAUACAAUAUUGAUAUGGGGAAAAUGAAGGAGUCCCCAAGAGUGCGUGACUUGAGAGCCAAAAUCCUUAACCAGGAAAUUCUUCUCACAACCUAAGUAAAAAUCAUUAAAAUGCUGACAUGUUUUUUGUGUAAGAGAGCUUAUCUCAGCAGUCAGCAGCUGAUUUCACAUUUAAGAGGUGAACAUGGUUAUUAUCCUGGACCUAAGUUUAAGUUGUGUUGUUGGCAGCCAGGCUGCAGGCUUCAGUUCCAAACUUAUGCAGGCUUUAGGAAGCACCUCAGUUUUCACAGCAAUGUUGACCACAAUGAUCGAACUUCAGCCAUUGCUUCUUUUUCUAAUGACACAGUUUCACCUGCUUUGGAGGACCAGUUUAAUUCCUCUUAUCUUCCUCACAGUUCUCCCAGUGUUCUUCCAGAGUCUAGUUCUUCCAGUGUUCCAGUGAGCAUUGAUUCAGUACUUACAAGGGAUUCAUCCAAAGAAAUCUGUGCAUCCAUUGUGGCCAAACUGCAGGGUAGUGGCCUUUCUAACAGUUUAGUAUCCUCACUUGUAGGCGAUUUGGAGGAAUUAACAAGUGAGCUUCGCUCAGAAGCAAAGCAGGCCAUUCUUUCUGCGUUACCCACAAAGGACUCCAGCAUAUCUUUAAUAAAUGAAUGUUUUGAAAAUUUUGAAAACCCUUUCACCAAUCUGAACACAGAAUGGAAACGAAAUAAAUACUUCAAUCUAAAAUGGGGAGUUGUAGAACCUAGAGAAAUAACACUUGGAGUGAGGUAUGACAUCAGGCGAAAUCAGAAGUUUGGUACUUAUGAUCAAGUACCUGUGAAGGAUACUUUUAUAUAUGUACCUAUUUUGGAGUCUUUGAAGUUCAUGUUUAGAAAUCCAGAGAUUUGUGUUUUCCUGCAGAGAGAGUGUAGCUCAGAGCCUGAUGCUUAUCAUGACUUUUGUGAUGGAAGUUACUUUAAAACUCACCCUUUGUUUUCAGCCAAAAGGCAUGCAUUACAAAUUCAGCUAUACUAUGAUGACUUUGAAACAGCCAAUCCUCUUGGCUCUAAACGCGGAAUUCACAAAAUUGGCUGUAUUUAUUUUGUUAUAAGAAACUUGCCCCCAAAAUUUAAUUCCAUUUUGAUGAACAUUCAUUUAGUGUCACUUUUCCACACACCAGAUCUGCAAAAGUAUGGUUUUGAUGUUAUACUGGAACCACUGAUAAAUGAUGUCAAAAAACUGGAAAGCCAAGGGCUAAGUCUUCCAUUUUCUGAUGAGCAGGUAUAUGGCACAAUAUCACAGAUCACUGGAGAUAACCUAGGGAUGCACUCAAUUCUUGGUUUUAAUGAGUCGUUCAGUAGCCGUCAUUUCUGUCGCCUUUGUUUGAUUGAGAAGAAUGAUUGUCAAAUGGUGUACAGUGAGGAUGAUCCUAAAAUUAUUCUUCGUGGGAAAGAUUUGUUUGACAUACAUUGCCAGUCUCUUCGGGAAGAUCCUAAAUUGAAGUCACUGUAUGGGUUGAAAAGAAAUUCUGCACUCAAUUCAUUGCAGUAUUACCAUAUUUGCAAUAACUACUCAUUUGAUAUAAUGCAUGACCUUCUUGAAGGUGUGGCUCAGUAUGAGGUCAAAUUGCUUUUUGAGUAUCUUACGCAACACUUCAUAUCAGAACAGAACUUGCUUUCUAGGAUUUAUGGUUUUGACUAUGGAUUUUUAGAAAGAAAAAACCGGCCCACUAAAAUCAUAUUGGACAGUGCUGGCAAUAGCAUUGGUUUGAACUCUAUCCAGACAUUCUGUCUUGUGAAAAACAUCCCACUUUUGUUUGGUGACAUUAUUCCUGCAGGGAACAGACACUGGAAUUUGUUAUUGUUGUUACUUCAAAUAAUGAACAUUGUUUUUUCACCUUGUCUCACUCUGGGAAUGACUAUAUAUUUGAAGAAUUUGAUUAUUGACCACCACAAACUAUUUAAGCACACGUAUCCACACAGAAACUUGAUUCCUAAGCAUCAUUUUAUGAUUCAUUACCCAUCCUGUAUUCGAAAAAUUGGCCCUUUACUGUAUAUGUGGAGUAUGAGGUUUGAAGCUAAGCACAAGUUGUUCAAAGAUUAUUUCAAAAAUUUCAAAAACCUCACCAAAUCGCUUGCUAAACGGCAUCAGAUGGCCAUUGCUUAUCACUGGGAAACCUUUUCUCUUAAACAGAAGGAGUUUGGGCCAAUUAAAUCAUUUUCUUUAAGAGGUGAAAGUGUGGUCAAUAGUGAAAUGCUAUUAUCAAAAGAUGUUUUCUCAACAAGUUGGGUUAAAAUUGAUGGUGUAGAGUACAAAGCUGGACUCGUUGUUUGCAGUACAAUGGAGGAAGACAUGCCAGUCUUUUGUCAAAUAAUUGAUACACUUAUGGUUGAAAAUGACAUUUUUUUGUUGACACACAAACUCUUUACUGAAAACUUUGAUGAACAUCACCAUGCAUUCAAAGUAGUACAAACUGAAGAACGGUGUGUCAUAAAAAUAACUGAACUCAAAUGUCACAGACCAUUUGAUAUUCAAAACUCAUACAGUGCUGCAGAUGAAAGUUUGUACAUUAUAUCUUCAUUUAUUAUGUUUUGAUUCACUUUCUGGGAAAAAGAAGCAUGAUAAUAAAUGUUUUUGGACAAUGUACAGUUUUCUUGAAAUUAUUCUCAUGAUUGUACUUGUUGUCGUUAAAAAGUUAUGUUAAUCUAUUACAUAAAUAGUUCUUUUAGGGAUUAAAACUACCUUAAUAAAAGAUUAAAGAGUUAAAGUAGUGUUAUUUUUCAAUCUGUGUAGUGUUAAUUUAACCCAGUUUGGUGAUUAAAAAUUAACUCAGACAUGGUGUUAAUAAUAAUUUGCUCAGUGUUAAUUUAACCCGGUUUUAAGAGUUAAAAAUUAACUCAGACAUGGUGUUAAUAAUAAUUUGCUCAGUGUUAAUUUAACCCAGUUUUAAGAGUUAAAGAAGGAACUCUGACAAAGUGUUAAAUAAUUAACUAUUUUGAAAAUGUUAAUUCAACUCUGUAGAGUGUGGAGCUAUAUAAACCCUGAAAAAAUGUUAAAAUCAACUCUGUGGGAGUUGAUUCAACACUACAGUUUUUGCUGUGUA